This 492-nucleotide ribosomal RNA is filed under the name uncultured bacterium. RNAcentral describes it as "partial 16S ribosomal RNA". It matches the Rfam family "Bacterial small subunit ribosomal RNA", at positions 29 to 507 of the family's 1533-position model. The record is from RNAcentral.
AGUGAACGCUGGCGGUAGGCCUAACGCAUGCAAGUCGAACGGCAGCACAGUAAGAGCUUGCUCUUACGGGUGGCGAGUGGCGGACGGGUGAGGCAUACAUCGGAAUCUACUUUUUCGUGGGGGAUAACGUAGGGAAACUUACGCUAAUACCGCAUACGACCUACGGGUGAAAGCAGGGGAUCUUCGGACCUUGCGCGAUUGAAUUAGCCGAUGUCGGAUUAGCUAGUUGGCGGGGUAAAGGCCCACCAAGGCGACGAUCCGUAGCUGGUCUGAGAGGAUGAUCAGCCACACUGGAACUGAGACACGGUCCAGACUCCUACGGGAGGCAGCAGUGGGGAAUAUUGGACAAUGGGCGCAAGCCUGAUCCAGCCAUACCGCGUGAGUGAAGAAGGCCUUCGGGUUGUAAAGCCCUUUUGUUGGGAAAGAAAAGCAGCAGGUUAAAACCCCGCUGUUCUGACGGUACCCAAAGAAUAAGCAACGGCUAACUUCGUG